This 253-nucleotide ribosomal RNA is filed under the name uncultured bacterium. RNAcentral's name for it is "partial 16S ribosomal RNA". It matches the Rfam family "Bacterial small subunit ribosomal RNA", at positions 524 to 776 of the family's 1533-position model. The record is from RNAcentral.
UACGAAGGGGGCUAGCGUUGUUCGGAAUUACUGGGCGUAAAGCGCACGUAGGCGGGUGGUUAAGUCAGGGGUGAAAUCCCGGAGCUCAACUCCGGAACUGCCUUUGAUACUGGCCAUCUAGAGGCUGGAAGAGGUUAGUGGAAUUCCCAGUGUAGAGGUGAAAUUCGUAGAUAUUGGGAAGAACACCAGUGGCGAAGGCGGCUAACUGGUCCAGUACUGACGCUGAGGUGCGAAAGCGUGGGGAUCAAACAGG